Molecule: ribosomal RNA, 406 nt
Filed under: uncultured bacterium
Lineage: Bacteria
Description: partial 16S ribosomal RNA
Rfam family: Bacterial small subunit ribosomal RNA
Source: RNAcentral
GAUGAACGCUGACAGAAUGCUUAACACAUGCAAGUCAACUUGGUGGCGGACGGGUGAGUAACGCGUAAAGAAAUUGCCUCACAGAUAGGGACAACAUUUGGAAACGAAUGCUAAUACCUGAUACUGGGAGCGAGCUUUGCGUCCCAUUAGCUAGUUGGAGAGGUAACGGCUCACCAAGGCGAUGAUGGGUAGCCGGCCUGGGAGGGUGAUCGGCCACAAGGGGACUGAGCCACGGCCCAGACUCCUACGGGAGGCAGCCGUGGGGAAUGUUGGACGAGGGGCGCAGCCUGAUCCAGCCAUGCCGCGUGUCUGAAGAAGGCCUUCGGGUUGUAAAGGACUUUUGUUAGGGAAGCUACGACUAAAGAAUAAGCACCGGCUAACUACGUGCCAGCAGCCGCGGUAAUUC